GCAGGAGGGAAAGACAGCUUGCAAAUCCCAAAAAGGAUUUGAGGAAAGUCCGAACUUCACAAGGGCAAGAAGCCGGGUAAUUCCCGGGCGCGUAAAGCGACGGAAAGUGCAGAAGAAAACAAACCGCUGGGAAACCAGUAAGGGUGAGAAGGUGCGGUAAGAGCGCACCAGCACAAUUGGUAACAUUGUGGCUAGAAAACCCCUUCUGAAGCAAGGUUAAGCAGAGCCAGAAUGCCCUGUUCGAAAAAGCUCGGGUAAACCGCUUAGAGAAAUAGCUGUUCUAGACAGAAUUCGGCUUACCCUCCUGCUUUC
Molecule: RNase P RNA, 312 nt
Filed under: Candidatus Coatesiibacteriota bacterium
Lineage: Bacteria; Candidatus Coatesiibacteriota
Description: Candidatus Coatesbacteria bacterium RNase P RNA component class A
Rfam family: Bacterial RNase P class A
About the family: Ribonuclease P (RNase P) is a ubiquitous endoribonuclease, found in archaea, bacteria and eukarya as well as chloroplasts and mitochondria. Its best characterised activity is the generation of mature 5'-ends of tRNAs by cleaving the 5'-leader elements of precursor-tRNAs.
Source: RNAcentral